AUAUUCAAAACUUAUUCUACAUGAUCAAUUUUGAUUUUACUUACAUGGAGAUCAACAAUUUGUCUUUUAUUUCACCGUGAAAAGCUUGAGCAGAAUUUAAAAAUAAAUCCUGCUCUUUUAUUGUUGUGGAUAUUUUUAAUUAUCAAGCUACAAUCAUUGGUGUUGUUGACGAUUGUUGACAUCUCAUGCAACUGACAGCGGUCUAUCUGCACACUGUGCCCGGGACAUGGUGGCUAUUUUUAAGCUAAGGGAGUUAGAUAGGGAUGUCUAUAGCCUGGUCGCAGUUAUCGAACGGCAUACGCUAACUGAAACGAAAACAUAUUGCAGUUAUUGAACGAAUAGUGCAUUGUGAAAAAGAAAUUCUUGGGAAAUUCUAUUGGUCGAAAGCGACAUCCGGUCGAAAGCGACAUCUGGUCGAAAGCGACAUAGGGGUAGCGGAGGUAAAGUGAACAAGCGGGGUAAGGUGGGAAACGGCUUGUUUAUCCCCUGUUUAUGCAUUUCUCGUAUUAUUUUCCAUGCUACACCAUAAAUCAAGCAUUCCAUGCUCUCCGAGCUAUUUGAAAUCAUGAAAUAUCUAUUUAACAGCUAGAUUUUAGUAAAAUUUUGCGCGCUUUUGCAAAAUGCUAGUUUGAUGUAAUUUCGGCACUGUUGCAUUUAAGCCAUGAAAACUCCGAGUUAGUAGUUCUAAACCAAAAUAUCGUUCACAUCGUUCAUUUGGCUUGUUAUGAAGUGGAACUGGUUGAUGGAUAAUAGUUUUUGCUUUUCUCGUACAGCAAAGUUGUACUGAAAAGCUAUUGAACUACUCAGGGCCGGAUUUAUGGGGGGGGCCGGGGUGGCGUGGCCCCGGGCCCCCACAAAUAUUGUGUACCAAAACCAACCUUUUUUGAACAUUUUGGGGCCUCCACAUACCGUCGGCCCCGGGGCCCCCUUCCGGCUAAAUCCGGCCCUAGAACUACUCCAAAAAACAACUUUUGAUAGAAGGCCCGGAGACUCAUAGUGUUAUAUACCGAUCGACUCAGUUCGACGAAUCGAGGUGAUGUCUGUAUAGGCGUAUGUAUGUGUGUGUUUGUAAGUAAGUGUAUGUAUGUGUGUAUGGGUACAAAUUUUGUAGACACACUUUUUGGAACUUCUUCUUCUUCUUCUUCUUCUUAUUGGCAUUACAUCCCCACACUGGGUCAGAGCCGCCUCGCAGCUUAGUGUUCAUUUAGCAUUUCCACAGUUAUUAACUGCGAGGUUUCUAAGCCAGGUUACCAUUUUUGCAUUCGUAUAUCAUGAGGCUAGCACGAUAAUACUUUUAUGCCCAGGGAAGUCGAGACAAUUUCCAAUCCGAAAAUUGCCUAGACCGGCACCGGGAAUCGAACCCAGCCACCCUCAGCAUGAUCUUGCUUUGUAGUCGCGCGUCUUACCGCACGGCUAAGGAGGGCCCACAAUGGUCAUUUGGAACUUAGCAUUACCCGAUUUACUCGCAACAAGUUGCAUUCGACGGGGAUUGCAAUCCCAUUGUUUGCUAUUGAAAAUUGGCCCGAUCGGACAUUGCAUUUUGGAAUUAUUGAAAAAUCAUUGUUUUUUCCCAAGGGUCCCCCCUUGGAAAACAAAUUUCAAAACCGAAAAAAAAAACUUCAAGAAUGGUGGCAAUGCAUAGUAAUUAAUGCAAAAACAUGCAAAAUGUUAGAAAAUAUGUGAUCUACUCCCCUAAAGUGCUUUUUUUUUACCUUUCUUAUGUGAUUUUUUCAGUACAUUUUACGAAGACGAUUCCAAUUUCCAGAUUACGGCAGAGGAGCCAACGUUUCAUUCACUUUAAUAAUACACAGAGAAAACAAAAAUGGUUUUCAUAAAUGUUUUACACUUUACAUUUAAAAGUUGAUUUGUUUUCCUAAAAUUAAAAGUUCUUUUUUUACUUUGGAAGUUAUAUUUUCAAUUUGAAAGUGUUUUUUAUCUGCACUCAGUGUAAAUUUAAAAGUUUUUUCUUUCAGUGUAAGAAAUAUAGAAAUGUCAAAUCCACAAAAAAAUAUUUGCGCGAAAGUAGCCAUCAAAACAGAGUGCAAAACAAAAUCAAAAUUCACCUCCCACUCCAAAAUUAGUUUAAAAUGUCCGCAGCGCAGGAGCUAAUUUUUAUUUCCGGAUUGCUAAGAAAGACUACAUUGAAAAUAUUGAACGAAAGGCUAUUGGAAAUGGCUCAUUCGUACCGCAGUUUGCCGUCUCCCGCCAUGAUAAGUGAUCAUUGAUCACCACGUAACGGUUUACUCCCUGCCGCAAAACUCAAGUGUAUGCUGAAUCGGAAGCUCCAUGCUACGAUAAACCGAAGUGUUUGCAGUGACCCGCAGUGAUUCGCCCUACGGGGAAUGUCGAUCUUAUUGAAGCUUUCCUUUUUCCUGUUGGAUCAGCUAAUCGAAAAAAUGCGACAGUAUGGUUCCUGAAAGACCAGCUUGUACUGUGGAACGGGAAGUUGACCAUCCUUGACCUGAACCUGGAUGUUCAUCAGCGUUGACAAUGGAAUUGGUGUCGAAAAGUACAAACGGCCAGGCGACCGCAGUGAUUCUGAGGAAAUCGCGGAUCGAGACCAUCAGCGUCGGAGGACAGCCAGGAGAGGAAUCUCGUUUUUCAAAAUUGAAAAUGAUUGGAAAUAAAAUUCAAUAUUUCUCCUUUCUUCAAAAUUUGUCAUGUUUUGAUUAUUCUAAUAAGAAUAUUACCCAUAUUACCAUUUGAAACAAACAAUAU
Long non-coding RNA from Armigeres subalbatus, 2718 nucleotides. RefSeq lists it as uncharacterized. The record is from RefSeq and is a predicted model, not a curated record. The transcript has 4 exons. NCBI's taxonomy places the organism in Eukaryota, Metazoa, Arthropoda, Insecta, Diptera, Culicidae.